UUUACGUUACCGUCUGGUAUUGUUGUGGAUAAAGCAGUUAUCAUUAGACAUUUACUCAACAGUGCCACGGAUCCUUUCAAUCGGCAGCCGCUUAGCAAAGAUAUGCUCGUGCCAAUGCCCGAUUUGAAAGAAAGAAUAUCAAUAUGGAAACAACAAAAGAAACAGUCCUAAGAUGACAAGAAUUAUGCACAUAAAAAUAAGAAUAUAGGGAAGGAA
Molecule: long non-coding RNA, 216 nt
Organism: Formica exsecta
Lineage: Eukaryota; Metazoa; Arthropoda; Insecta; Hymenoptera; Formicidae
Exons: 2
Source: RefSeq, a predicted model, not a curated record